ACGGGAGAAACUGAAAAGACCAGAUGUGUGUUCUUCAACCAGUCACAUAGCUAGAGCCUCACUUUCACUAUUUUUGGGUUCUUGAAGCAAAUAACCAAAGCCACAUUCAAGGACCCAAAAAUCUUCUCUCAGGAGAAAUUUUAAAGAUUAAAACUGGUCAUAGUUGACUGUAUGUUCACAGUAAGGCACAGGCCAUUAUUACUCUAUCAAGGCAUUUGAUAUAUGCACAGCAUGGUUCGGUGAUGGUCUUCUCUCCCUGGCUGCAUAAGGAUUAUUUGGGUCACUGUCAUCUUUUCCCAAGUGAUGGCUCUUCUUUCAUUCUCUGCUUUAGUAUGCUGGUAUUUUGUUCAUCUCCAGUGAGAAGUGAUUGGAUUUCUUU
Bos taurus (domestic cattle) is the source of this 379-nucleotide long non-coding RNA. The record is from Ensembl. NCBI's taxonomy places the organism in Eukaryota, Metazoa, Chordata, Mammalia, Artiodactyla, Bovidae.